UACAGAGGUCCCAAGCGUUGUUCGGAUUCACUGGGCGUAAAGGGUGCGUAGGUGGUGAGGUAAGUCGGAUGUGAAAUCUCCGGGCUCAACCCGGAAAUGGCAUUGGAAACUACCUUGCUGGAGGAUUUGAGGGGGGAUUGGAAUACUUGGUGUAGCAGUGAAAUGCGUAGAUAUCCGGAGGAACACCGGUGGCGAAGGCGGCUUCCUGGACCGACACUGACGCUGAGGCGCGAAAGCUAGGGGAGCAAACGGG
Molecule: ribosomal RNA, 253 nt
Filed under: uncultured bacterium
Lineage: Bacteria
Description: partial 16S ribosomal RNA
Rfam family: Bacterial small subunit ribosomal RNA
Source: RNAcentral